GCGGUCCAGGGUGACUUCCGGUUUAUUUCCGGGUUAUAACGAAGUACAAUAACAGCGGACUAAUUAUCAUUCCAGAUAUUAUUCAAAUAUGCUGAUGUUAUCUUCUGAGAUCAUUGCUUUCAAUGAAGAACAUCACUACAAUUGGUUGGACUGCUAGAUUGGUAGCAACGUGAUGGACAGCUAGUGCCUGUUGAAACACUAAUGUUGGUUGGGCAUCUAUUGCUUACUGGGCCGCUAUAUUGGAUGGACCAUACGUGUUGAUUGAACAAUUAUAAAUGGUUGGACCGGAAGUGUUGGUUGGACCACCAGUGUUGUUUGGACUGCUUGUUGGACAGAAUGUGUGAUGGACAACUAGUGUUAUUUGAAUCACUGUUGGAUAGACAGUUAUUGUUGUUUGGACAGCUAUAAUCAGUUGAUUUACAAGUUUUGGUUGAACAAUAUUUAAUGGAAGCACAAGUGUUGGUUGGACUGCAUUUAAUGGAUGGAUAUCUACUUGUGCCUGAUUUGACCAAAAUGAAGUGAUGAAGUGAUGAUUGAACUGCUACUGUAGGUUGUCAGCUGGUCAGUGCCAUGAUGUGAAUACUGAUGAUGCUGAUGAUGUGGAUACUGAUGAUGUGGAUGAUGAUGAUGUGGAUGAUGAUAAUGUGGAUGCCUCUGGAUUGAAAUAGCUGGACAGUGCCAUGAUGUGGAUACUGUUGAUACUGAUAAUGUGGAUACUGUUCAUACUGAUGAUAUAAUGCUGAUAAUGUGGAUAUUGAUGAUGUAGAUGCCCCGGAUGAUCAACCAGGGACUAAUAGAGCUGGACAGUGCCAUGAUGUGAAUACUGAUGAUACUGAUGAUGUGGAUACUGAUGAUGUGGAUGAUGAUGAUGUGGAUGAUGAUGAUGAUGUGGAUGCCUCCGUUGAUCAACCAGGGACUGAAAUAGCUGGACAGUGCCAUGAUGUGAAUACUGAUGAUACUGAUGAUGUGGAUGCUGAUGAUGUGGAUGCCUCCGUUGAUCAACCAGGGACUGAAAUAGCUGGACAGUGCCAUGAUGUGAAUACUGUUGAUGCUGAUGAUGUGGAUGUUGAUAAUGUUGAUGCCUCCGUUGAUCAACUAGGGACUGAAAUAGGUCAACUCGAAGCAGUCGUAAAUGCUGGGAUUGGCACAAACCAUGAAAAACGAACAGCCACAGUCAGAACACCUUGGAGCUAGGCUGAAGAAGACGUGGUAGAAAAUGGCCCUAAAAAGUGUUUUAAGCUUAAUACUCUUACCAAAAAUAAUUUAGAAUGUCUUGAACUUAUAAAGAAGUAUCCAAUUCUUGCCAGGCGAUCAAGGACAAUGGUGAAAGGGUACAUUAGAAAAAUGCAACUCGCCUUGCAAUAGGCUCAUCAAAAAGCAAACAAUUAAACAAAUAGAUACUUUAAAUUAUAGAAUAGACUAGAUUGCAUUUUGAUUUAAGCUUUAUAUCUGAAUACCAUCAGUGAUUGACAUGUUCUUUGGAUAUUGUUCUAUUAUUAUUUAUUUUUUAACAAUUAAAAUUUUGAAAUUGAAUAUGGUAAUAACUUGUCCUCAAUUGGAGGUGAUUUUGCUAGAAUUGUCCAUGAUGUUUGUGGUCAUUUACACUGCAGUGUAUUCAAUUGUUUUUUUGUUCCAUGGUAAAUAAUGGUGUGUGGUAUUGUUUUGUAUUGAAUGAUUCUGUCAUUUCUCAGUGAUGUGAUGUUUUUUGUGUUGUUGGAUAAAUUGAUGAAAUGCAAAUGAAAUAUCAUCAUGUAUGAACAUGUCAAACAAAAAUGUAUUAACUUUCUUCUGUUUGCUAUCAAAACGUUAAGUAUUUGUUUGGCUGAAUUGUAUCUAGAGUCAAUGAAUGAAGAUUUGUUUAUUACUGAAAAUUGAUAUGCAUUAUUUUUUGUAAAAGAAAAAUUUUCAGAAAAAAAGUAUCUUGGUAUUGUGAUAUGCCUUGGCACCUGUCAGGGCUGUGGGCAUCAUGCAGUCUUUUACCUAGGACAGUAACUAAAUCUUUUCAUAUUUAAAUAAAACUUGGUUAGGAUGUUGCCAGGGACAAUAUGCAUGUGUACAUCAAGGAGCAUAACUCUGGCUUUAGUUUGUAUUGAGUUAUGCCUCAUUUUCGAAGGAGAAAAAAACAGACGAGUGCUGGUGUUUUCUUCAUGGCGCUCUUGUUGACCUUGGCGAGAUCAAGGUUCAAUGUUGAAAUAAGAUAUGCCUUGUAAGUUAUUUUAACUAACAGGGGAAAGUCUGACAAUCAAGUUUAGACUUUAAUAGCUUUAAUAGUGAUUGUUGUGUAAAGUGGACUUUCAACAUAUUUUAUCAUAUAAAUAGAAGUAUGAAUUCUGCUCUUUGGAGCUAAAAAUUAUCUACUUUCCGGCUAUUGAUAAUUAUGUACUUAUUUCACAUAUCCGAGCAUGUUAUGUAUCCAUUUGUCUACAUUAUACUGAUUACUUAGUAUUGAUAUAUUCGUAUUUAAUACCUGUCUUGUAAUGAUCAGCUAUAUAAAUAGAUCCAUCCAUCUGAAGUUUCUGUUUAUUGACACUUAACUAUUACAGUAUUACAAUCGGACCAAUAAAAUACU
Molecule: long non-coding RNA, 2569 nt
Organism: Mya arenaria
Lineage: Eukaryota; Metazoa; Mollusca; Bivalvia; Myida; Myidae
Exons: 9
Source: RefSeq, a predicted model, not a curated record